Long non-coding RNA from Triticum aestivum (bread wheat), 2401 nucleotides. RefSeq lists it as uncharacterized. The record is from RefSeq and is a predicted model, not a curated record. Lineage: Eukaryota; Viridiplantae; Streptophyta; Magnoliopsida; Poales; Poaceae. The transcript has 2 exons.
CUAGAAGUGCCCUCUCUAUGGCGCAUCACUCAUUGAUUCCAGAUGGGCAACAUUCUGCUUCGCAAUCAAAGAGCAUAGUUUUUGCCUGCUAUCAUUGCUUACAUAUGAGAGUAGAGAUAAUUAAUUGUGCUCCUGACUUGCUUUUCUAACCUAAGUGUUCCUAGGAUUGCCUUGUUUAAUUGCAUCUGAAUAUUAGCUGCCUGAUAAGGGUAGAGAUAAAUGCCUUUUCCUCUUAUAUUUAUCUUUAUGUCGGUGGCGCUCUUGUUUAAUUUCUCAACGGUUUUUGCCGCUGCCAGUUGUUGGAUUCAUCAGACACAUUGCCUUUUAGACUUGGCAGUGGAUUUGGGAUUAUUGAUGGCCUAGCCACUGAACAGCGAAUGACGGAGUCAGAUGUGGCUUGAAGCGCAAAUGCUUCACCGAACUUAAUAAAACUCAUACCUGCACAUGGAGCAGUCCUGAAUGGUUCACCAUUCAAGACACCACAAAACUUUAGAAGUAUCCAGACUUGCUAAACUUUUUAUUCAUUAACAGUGAGAGAAAGAUGUCUUGACAAUUUGUCCGCUGGAAAAUCUUAUUUGCUAUUUGUUUCAUGUAGGUUUUGUAAUUGCUUGAAGUUGUCCAGUUCAGAUGUCCAUACACUUCAAUGAAAUACCCUCAGCUGCUUUCCAAUCUGAGAGUUGAAUCGAAGGUGUGCAUUUGAACCCGUGAAAUUAUUAUUUUGUUUUUUCGUAUCUCAUCAGUUUUUUGAUUCUUAGAUUGAAGAGAUCCUACGGAAUUCUACAACAUCUGAAUUUGGUAGUGUAUAUUAUUUUUCGGAGAGAGGUGAUUGAAUGAUUGAUCUUGAUGUGUUCCAUCAAAAGCUUAUCUAGGUUGCUUGUUCAGUCCUGUUCAUAUUGGGUUUGAGAUUAUUAUGUUCUUCAAGUUGCUUCUCUUGAUGUUUAGAUGUCUCAAGAACUGCGCACACAAUUGAGCGAGUCUGAGAAAGGAGAGCUAAAAGAAUCGUUCCAUCAUAUGCUGAAAUGGGCCUGGAGAUAUAAUAAAUAUCUUGAAGAACAGGCAGCCCAGCUUCACAUGUUAGCUAGCUGGUCGAAAACUGUUGAAGUGAGUUGUGUGUGUGCAUGACCACUUAAUCUUUUCUGUUGGGAAUUUCAUAUUGUAACCCGCUUAUUGUUAAUUUCAGGUAGCUGUAUCAAGAAGUAAUAAUUUUAAGACAUUGAAGUUCAGAACCUCUAUUGAAACUCUUUCGUAGUAUUAUAUGAACUUCUGUAUUUGAACUCUUUCAUAGACGUUUAUACUGAGGUUGCUCUUCUAUAGACAUUUAUAGAGGUUGCUCUUUUAUAGACAUUUCGAAGCAGGCCGCUAAGCUAAGCCCAAGUCUCGAAUCAGGAUUGUCGUCGUUCGUCAGUCCCAACUAGGAGAUUGUGGCGGCAGCGGUGGGUUUUGGGUCGGCGAGCUGCAGGGAUUUGCUGGACGCACGCCAUCACAUGUCGAGCCACACAUAGUGACCGAUGGUGGCGGAUUAGAGUUGGAAUUCAAGAGGUUUGUGUGGUUUCAGUUAUCCGAUGAUUGGGCGAGAGCGGAGCAACAGAGGCCGGCCAAGAACAUGACCAGGGAUAACACAUCUUGCUUGAUUUCCCGAGCGACCCAAGGUUGGUUGCAUCCUGCAUGACCUCAUAUUGUUCAUGAGAGUUUUGUGAUGUUCUUUUUUUAGAGAAGUUUUGUGAUCUUAAUUCAUGAGACAUUUGACGUGAUACUAUGUGGCUGUAAACGUAAUCUGCAAUUCAGAGCAAACAGAGUGAACAAACCAAGGACAUGCAGGUUAGUCCGUUAGUGUCUUACUUUUCUUUUUGUAAUUCUAUCGUACUGUAUAGUUAGUACAAAAUCAUCAAAUAUUCAGGAUAUGUUUAUAAUUUUGUGAAACUGAAAUGUGCAACAUGUUCAGUGGACUGGUGAAUUAUAAUUUUGUGAAACUGAAAUGUGUUACUGAAACCUGACUGGUGAUGAACUAACCGAUUCACACAAAGGCUUGCUGAUAACAACUUGAGUUGGCCGAGUCUCGCCGAGUUGAGCGUGGAGUAGAAGGUGUCGAGUGAACUUGAGUCAGUGUCAUUCGCUGUAAUGAUCGCCCGGGCGGCCGUGUAGCUGUCUUAGAUGGAGUCCAGGGGGAAGACCAAGAGGAGGUGCGAUAAGAUUGAGCUUUCCAGAAUUUUGGGGAGGUGGCGCUUGUCGCACUGCAAAACUUUUAUUUGUAUAUGUUGCAUGCUACUACCUCCUAAUCAAUAUGUCAUUGAAAUGAAGUAGAUGCAGCUCUUCAUAGAUAUUGUCACAUGUUCUGGUUUGCAGGUUAAAUAUUUGAUGCCCUCAUUUUGGUAAUGAGAGCAAUGCAAUAUUCUGAAGGUCA